RNAcentral lists this ribosomal RNA (441 nucleotides) under uncultured bacterium. Its description in RNAcentral is "bacterial SSU rRNA". It matches the Rfam family "Bacterial small subunit ribosomal RNA", at positions 335 to 769 of the family's 1533-position model. The record is from RNAcentral.
ACUCCUACGGGAGGCAGCAGUGGGGAAUAUUGCACAAUGGGCGCAAGCCUGAUGCAGCCAUGCCGCGUGUAUGAAGAAGGCCUUCGGGUUGUAAAGUACUUUCAGCAGUGAGGAAGGUGGGUAUGUUAAUAGCAUAUUCUAUUUGUACGUUAGCUGCAGAAGAAGCACCGGCUAACUCCGUGCCAGCAGCCGCGGUAAUACGGAGGGUGCGAGCGUUAAUCGGAAUUACUGGGCGUAAAGCGCAUGCAGGUGGUUUGUUAAGUCAGAUGUGAAAGCCCGGGGCUCAACCUCGGAAUUGCAUUUGAAACUGGCAAACUAGAGUACUGUAGAGGGGGUAGAAUUUCAGGUGUAGCGGUGAAAUGCGUAGAGAUCUGAAGGAAUACCGGUGGCGAAGGCGGCCCCUGGACAGAUACUGACACUCAGAUGCGAAAGCGUGGGAGC